CUGUACUUUUGGAAACUAUGCACUUGGGCAGACAUUGUGCUCAAUACUUUGUUUCUUCAGAUGCCAUCAUUAAUGAGAACUAUGACUACCUGAAGGGGUUCUUGGAAGACCUGGCACCUCCAGAGCGCAGCAGCCUAAUUCAGGAUUGGGAAACAUCUGGGCUUGUUUACCUGGACUAUAUUAGAGUCAUUGAAAUGCUCCGCCAUAUACAGCAGGUGGAUUGCUCAGGUCAUGACCUGGAGCAGUUACACAUCAAAGUGACUUCACUGUGCGGUCGGAUAGAGCAGAUUCAGUGUUACAGUGCUAAAGAUCGCCUGGCUCAGUCAGACAUGGCCAAACGUGUAGCCAACCUGCUGCGUGUGGUGCUGAGUCUGCAUCAUCCUCCUGAUAGAACCUCCGACUCAACACCAGACCCUCAGCGAGUCCCUUUGCGCCUCUUGGCGCCCCACAUUGGCCGGCUUCCCAUGCCUGAGGACUAUGCCAUGGACGAAUUGCGCAGCCUUACCCAGUCCUAUCUGCGAGAACUGGCUGUUGGGAGCCUGUGAGCCCCAGGCACUCUGCAUCACAGUCACAUGCCCAUUCACACUCACCACGCAGAGGUUCCCUGCCGCCAGAAGCAGCAUCCU
Molecule: small RNA, 626 nt
Filed under: Pan troglodytes (chimpanzee)
Lineage: Eukaryota; Metazoa; Chordata; Mammalia; Primates; Hominidae
Description: retained intron
Source: RNAcentral